UUCGCAAUGCCCGAAAGGGUGACGAAGCGACGCCGCGUGUGGGAAGAAGGCCUUCGGGUUGUAAACCACUGUUGGGAGUUAGGAAGUGUGGAGGUGUUAAUAGCGCUUUCACUUGACUAAAGCUCCAGAGGAAGCCACGGCUAACUCUGUGCCAGCAGCCGCGGUAAUACAGAGGCGGCAAGCGUUGUUCGGAAUUAUUGGGCGUAAAGAGCACGUAGGCGGCUCUGCAAGUCAGCUGUGAAAGCCUUCUGCUUAACGGAAGAACGGCAGUUGAAACUACAGGGCUUGAGUGCGGGAGGGGAGAGUGGAACUUCUGGUGGAGCGGUGAAAUGCGUAGAUAUCAGAAGGAACGCCGGCGGCGAAAGCGGCUCUCUGGUCCGUAACUGACACUGAGUGUGCGAAAGCUAGGGGAGCAAACGGGAUUAGAUACCCCGGUAGUCCUAGCCGUAAACGAUGGGCACUAAGUAGAGGGGUUUU
This 477-nucleotide ribosomal RNA is filed under the name uncultured anaerobic ammonium-oxidizing bacterium. Its description in RNAcentral is "bacterial SSU rRNA". It matches the Rfam family "Bacterial small subunit ribosomal RNA", at positions 365 to 832 of the family's 1533-position model. The record is from RNAcentral.